CCUGGGUUUCCGAAAAUGGGGCGUGGCCCACAUGUAGCAGAGGUGCAGAGAAAUACAGCCCCCAGCUUGGCUGGGACAGGAUGGGCGUGGUCAUGGCCCAUUGCAAGCGGCAGGUGAAGUGCCUGGGCGAGGUCUGGGCAAAGGGAAGUGGACGGCCCAGGUGAAGAGAAGCGAGGCAGAAAUUAGGGAGGGGGCGUGGCCGAUUUAGAGAAGCAAUCAGAGUGAAUAGGGCGUAGCUGUGGGGACAGGCGUGACAUGGAAGAGCAUAGGGGCCAGUCAGGGAGGAGACCUUGGAGGGAGAGAAAUGGAGGGUGCCUGAGGGGGAUGUGCUAAAGCCAAAGCACAUUUGCCCCCUCCCAGCGGGUAGGGGAGUGGUGGAGGCGGAGCACAGAGGUGUGGCCUGUCAGAGAAGGCGUUGUUACGACAGCACAGAGAGUACGGCCCUAGGAGCAGGACCCUGCACACAGCUGAGCUCAGAGGCUCCAGUCUGGCCACGAGAAUGCAAUGGGAGGUAUUCUUCAUUGAUCUUACUCGAAGUUGAGAACAUGUAUUUUGACUCUGAGAAAUGUUUGGAGGUCAACUGCAGUGAGGUCUCUAUACCACAGAGUGUUGUUGGCGUCUCACAUGGCCAUUCAUCAGCUCAAUACAAACAAGUCUUCACGGAGGUGGAGUUUCCUCCUCACCUGUUGCUAAACCAGGCAGCGUGGAUUGGCAUAUUCACUGACUUCAUGGCACGAAGGCCUACAAAAGCGGAACAACUUUUCACCAGUGCAAAAAUGUUCCAAAAGAUACUCUCUCUGUCCAAUACACUUGUAAGUGCAUUCUAGAAUAUAAAAAAUAGAGAGAGAUAAAUGUUCUGUUGAAAGAUAAUCUCCCAAAAUAUAAGUUUUUAUGUAAGACAGUGCUCUCAAGUCAUAAAUGGUAAAUUCUUCUGAAAGUCACAGAGGAAAUUACUCUUAAGACCUCUGUCUUGUUAAGUUAUCAUAGUAAUAAAAUCUCAACCUACUAAGGUAACUUUCUAAACAUGUCAGAGCUUGAAAGUCUCUUGUAAACCUCUAAAUACAAAGAAAACCUAAGUUUAUUUAUUGAAGUUCAAGCUGUAGAAAUCUGACAGCUUUGAGGACUUUAAAAGAUACUGAAUCAACUGCUAUAAAAGGAAAACAGUCUUGACAAUUUUAAUUCAUAUAGUAUUACAACUGAAGAAACUAUUUGAUGAUUUAUGAAGGGCACAUUUGCCGGCUGUGUUUUGGAGUUUUUGCAUGAAAAGUGAAUUUGUACUCAGACUGUUUGCAUCUUCAAAGACCCAUGAGCUUGGCUGUAGGGGCAUGCAACAUUAGGUUUGGAAAUAUAUGAAAUAAAUAUUGCUAUGCCUUAAGAAUGUGAUUUAACUGUCAAUUUGCUUUGAUACGUAGGUUUAAAGUUUUGGGUUAUUUUAUAUAUGCUAUUCAUGUAUAUCUGUAUUGGAGGCAUCCACUCGCUGCUUUAGAAGCUCCUGGAGAGUAGAAAUUGUCUCCAUGUAGCUCUCAGCAAUUAAUAAACACUGAAGGCAACUGGG
This 1555-nucleotide long non-coding RNA is filed under the name Homo sapiens (human). Its description in RNAcentral is "HSALNT0203640". Lineage: Eukaryota; Metazoa; Chordata; Mammalia; Primates; Hominidae. The record is from RNAcentral.